RNAcentral lists this long non-coding RNA (930 nucleotides) under Brassica rapa (field mustard). Its description in RNAcentral is "long non-coding RNA (BRAP_LNC000605)". The record is from RNAcentral. Lineage: Eukaryota; Viridiplantae; Streptophyta; Magnoliopsida; Brassicales; Brassicaceae.
UAUAAGUGAAAACAAAAAUUAUGAUUUUUUUUCUUGUGCAUAUAGGUUGUUCGCAAUUUGAAGAAGAAAGAACAUAUUGUGUGAAAAUCUUUGGCUCGGUCAAAUUUUAUCCAAUUGUUUAUAAAACUGUUGUUAUCUGAUUCAUGUAAUUUUUCAGUGUUGAUUUAAAAGCCCAAAAAACCCAUAUAUACUGACUUUUUGAUAUUUUUUCUGUGAUUUGAAUUUAAAAAGAGAUAAAAUUUUCAAUAAGUGUUGUAAACUCAGAACAAGUAAUUAGCAUUAGAAAGCAUUUACAUGUUUCAAACUAAUAAUAUAUACAUAUAUAAUGUUUAAAAUUAUGCAUAUAAAAUCUGUGUAAAAUGUGCCUGAAUAUGUUUCUCAUCUUUAAUGUGUUAAUCGUACUAUAUAUAACAUUAUUUUAAAAUUUCAAAAAGUUUAUGUCACAUACAAAAAAACCAUCAAUAAAAAAUAUAAUUCUCUAUCUACAACAAGAAAAAUAAAAAAUUAUUAAACAUAUAAAUUUAAAUUAAGAAAAACUAACAUUGGAAAAAACAAGAAGUUAAUGUAAAAAAAAAAACCGACAAAUAAUAUUAUAAAUAAAAUAAAUUUAUCAGACACAAUCCGCGCGAAGCGCGGAAAAAAUCUCUAGUAUAAGUAAUAAAAGGAGAAUAAUAUAAGCUUCAGAUAGGCUGUCCACGUAGGAUAGGAAAAUCAACCAAUCAGAGAACCCGAAGUUGCCACGUCAUCUCAUUUAUUUUUUUGUUAAAAAAUGAAAAAACAAUGCGAAAGAAAAGAUCGAACCCCGGAUUAGUAUAUGACAUAAAUAUAUGGCAGUUACCACUAAGCCAUUGAAACUUUCUUGGACACAUAUACAAGAAUCACCAAGUAUGUAAUCACAUACUCUUAUGUACAGUUACAAUAAUAUGAAUU